RNAcentral lists this ribosomal RNA (253 nucleotides) under uncultured bacterium. RNAcentral describes it as "partial 16S ribosomal RNA". It matches the Rfam family "Bacterial small subunit ribosomal RNA", at positions 524 to 776 of the family's 1533-position model. The record is from RNAcentral.
GACGUAGGGGGCCAGCGUUGCUCGGAAUUACUGGGUGUAAAGGGUUCGUAGGCGGUGUGGCAAGUCGGGUGUGAAAUCUCUGGGCUCAACCCAGAGUCUGCUUCCGAAACUGCUGUGCUUGAGUGUGGGAGAGGCGCGUGGAAUUGCAGGUGUAGCGGUGAAAUGCGUAGAUAUCUGCAGGAACACCCGUGGCGAAAGCGGCGCGCUGGACCACAACUGACGCUGAGGAACGAAAGCUAGGGGAGCAAACAGG